RNAcentral lists this ribosomal RNA (242 nucleotides) under uncultured bacterium. Its description in RNAcentral is "partial 16S ribosomal RNA". It matches the Rfam family "Bacterial small subunit ribosomal RNA", at positions 115 to 353 of the family's 1533-position model. The record is from RNAcentral.
GCGUGAGUAACCUGCCUUUCAGAGGGGAUAACGUUCUGAAAAGAACGCUAAUACCGCAUGAGACUACAGAGCUGCAUGGCUCAGUGGUCAAAGGAGCAAUCCGCUGAAAGAUGGACUCGCGUCCGAUUAGAUAGUAGGCGGGGUAACGGCCCACCUAGUCGACGAUCGGUAGCCGGACUGAGAGGUUGAACGGCCACCAUUGGGACUGAGACACGGCCCAGACUCCUACGGGAGGCAGCAUG